UCGCUUUGGGAGGAGCUCGCUUACUAUCAGCUUGUUGGUAGGGUAAUGGCCUACCAAGGCUAUGACGGUUAGGGGGUGUGAGAGCAUGACCCCCAGCAUUGGCACUGAAACACUGGCCAAACACCUACGGGUGGCUGCAGUCGAGAAUCUUCCACAAUGGGGGAAACCCUGAUGGAGCGAUGCUGCGUGCGGGAUGAAGGCCUUCGGGUUGUAAACCGCUUUUGUAGGGGACGAAAUUUUUGACGGUACCCUUUCGAAUAAGAGGUUGCUAACUCUGUGCCAGCAGCAGCGGUAAUACAGAGACCUCAAGCGUUAUCCGGAUUUACUGGGCGUAAAGCGUCUGUAGGGGGUUUAUUAAGUUCCAAGUAAAAUUUCAAGGCUCAACUUUGAAUUCGCUUGGAAAACUAAUAAACUGGAGUCUAGCAGAGGUGCAUGGAACUUGUGGUGUAGGAGUGAAAUCCGUUGAUAUCACAAGGAACACCAAAGGCGAAGGCAUUGCACUGGGCUAGCACUGACCCUGAGAGACGAAAGCGUGGGGAGCAAAACGGAUUAGAUACCCGUGUAGUCCACGCCCUAAACGAUGAAUGCUAAAUGUUCGGGGAUUCGACCCCCUGGGUGUUACAGCUAACGCGUUAAGCAUUCCGCCUGGGAAGUACGGCCGCAAGGCUAAAACUCAAAGGAAUAGACGGGGAUCCGCACAAGCGGUGGAGCGUCUGGUUUAAUUCGACAGUAGGCGUGGUACCUCACCAGGGUUUGACAUCCCUUGACAGCCUUGGAAACAAGGUUUCCUUCGGGCAAGGUGACAGGUGCUGCAUGGUCGUCGUCAGUUCGUGCCGUGAGGUGUUCCGUUAAGUCGGGAAACGAACGAAACCCCUAUUGCAUGUUACAAUUUCUCAUGCAAGACUGCCCGGAUAUACUGGGAGGAAGGUGGGGAUGACGUCUGAUCUGCAUGGUCCUUAUACCCUGGGCGACACAGGCGCUACAAUGGCAGAGACAAAGGGUUGCAAAACCGCAAGGUGAAGCUAAUCCCAAAAACUUUGUCUAAGUUCGGAUUGAAGGCUGCAAUUCGCCUUCAUGAAGCUGGAAUCGCUAGUAAUCGUGAAUCAGCCACGUCACGGUGAAUAUGUUCCCGGAUCUUGUACUCACCGCCCGUCACACCAAGAGAGUUGGUAGCUCCCGAAGCGUCCCGUUUUAGCGGGGCAUCACGGAGAGAUCAGCGAU
This 1221-nucleotide ribosomal RNA is filed under the name uncultured organism. RNAcentral describes it as "bacterial SSU rRNA". It matches the Rfam family "Bacterial small subunit ribosomal RNA", at positions 215 to 1475 of the family's 1533-position model. The record is from RNAcentral.